This 423-nucleotide ribosomal RNA is filed under the name uncultured bacterium. Its description in RNAcentral is "bacterial SSU rRNA". It matches the Rfam family "Bacterial small subunit ribosomal RNA", at positions 207 to 622 of the family's 1533-position model. The record is from RNAcentral.
AAGACCUUGCGCUUUUGGAGCGGCCGAUGCCUGAUUAGCUAGUUGGUGGGGUAAUGGCCUACCAAAGCUUCGAUCAGUAGCUGGUCUGAGAGGACGGCCAGCCACACUGGGACUGAGACACGGCCCAGACUCCUACGGGAGGCAGCAGUGGGGAAUUUUGGACAAUGGGCGCAAGCCUGAUCCAGCCAUGCCGCGUGAGUGAAGAAGGCCUUCGGGUUGUAAAGCUCUUUCAGCCGGGAAGAAAAGGUUGCGAUUAAUAAUCGCAAUUUAUGACGGUACCGGAAGAAGAAGCACCGGCUAACUACGUGCCAGCAGCCGCGGUAAUACGUAGGGUGCGAGCGUUAAUCGGAAUUACUGGGCGUAAAGGGUGCGCAGGCGGCUUUGUAAGUCAGAUGUGAAAUCCCCGGGCUUAACCUGGGAACU